Trachymyrmex cornetzi is the source of this 188-nucleotide non-coding RNA. The record is from Rfam. Lineage: Eukaryota; Metazoa; Arthropoda; Insecta; Hymenoptera; Formicidae.
AUCUUGUAUGUCCAGUUGUAUUUUAUUUAAAGAUUCUUCUGCAUAAUCCUUCAUUAUCAUUCAGACGUUCGCAAGAGUCUGGACAGGGGGGGGGUUUUUAGUGGGUAGGCGAUACACAUGUCGAAUCCCACACACCUCGGGGUACGGACCCCGGGGCGUCUUGCGAAGAUUUUCCCCCUCCUACGUAA